Molecule: transfer RNA, 94 nt
Filed under: freshwater metagenome
Description: tRNA-???(ctcg)
Source: RNAcentral
CGGCGGGUGGUUCGAGGCCUCGCAGGCCACCGGCGAUCUCGUCGGCCGAGCACGCGACACGGUGGGACGGCUGUUCCACGCGGACCCCGCCGGC